This is a non-coding RNA of Pelobates cultripes (western spadefoot toad), 256 nucleotides long. The record is from the annotation of a GenBank genome assembly. NCBI's taxonomy places the organism in Eukaryota, Metazoa, Chordata, Amphibia, Anura, Pelobatidae.
CUGUGAGGUGAGUAGGGGGACUGUGAGGUGGGUAGGGGGGCAGUAUAGUGGGUAGGGGAGCUGUGAGGUGGGUAGGGGGGCUCUAUAGUGGGUAGGUGGGCUGUAUAGUGGGUAGGGGAACUGUGAGGUGAAUAGGGUGGCUGUAUAGUGGGUAGGGGCUGUGAGGUUGGUAGGGGGGCUGUAUAGUGGGUAGGGGGGCUGUAUAGUGGGUAGGGGAGCUGUGAGGUGGGUAGGGGGGCUGUAUUGUGGGUAGGGG